CCCACCCUCUGUGGGGUCCGUCAGGGUGACCCUUUCUCGCCGUUCCUGUUCAACAUGGUGGUAGAUGCCCUGGCCUCCAUCCUCGACAAGGCCAAGGAUGCCGGCCAUAUCCGCGGUAUUGUGCCCCAUCUAGUCGGAGGGGGAGGGAUCUCCCUCCUUCAAUAUGCGGAUGAUACCAUAAUAAUGGUUGAGGGGUCUGUUCAGGACAUAGCUAACCUGAAGUUCCUCCUUCUUUUCUUCCAAUAGAUGUCGGGACUAACCAUAAACUUUGAUAAGAGCGAAGUGAUGGUUCUUGGGUACCCCCCCGGAGAAGCACAGGCUAUCGCGGACCGACUAAAUUGUUGGUUGGGUUCUUUCCCCACGACCUACCCGGGGAUCCCCAUUAGUGAUUCGCGCCUCACCGUGGCGGAUCUUCGCCCCACGGUGACCCGUAUGCAACACCGUGUUGAGCCCUGGAAAGGCCGCUAG
RNAcentral lists this ribosomal RNA (468 nucleotides) under Triticum aestivum (bread wheat). RNAcentral's name for it is "partial small subunit ribosomal RNA". Lineage: Eukaryota; Viridiplantae; Streptophyta; Magnoliopsida; Poales; Poaceae. The record is from RNAcentral.